GUCCUUUCGGGACAUCUGAUAAAAUUGGAACAAUACAUAGAAUAUUAGCAUGAACUCUGGACAACGAUGGCACACAUAAAUUCGGAAAUUGUCUAAAUUUUU
Molecule: small nuclear RNA, 102 nt
Organism: Raphanus sativus (radish)
Lineage: Eukaryota; Viridiplantae; Streptophyta; Magnoliopsida; Brassicales; Brassicaceae
Source: RefSeq, a predicted model, not a curated record